AAAUGUGUUUGGGUGUGCUAACAUUGCCAUGAGCAAAAAGAUACUGCAAGUUACUGCAGGUUAAAUAUGUGAUCAACAGGUGUCUUUAUACUAUACAGGAGGCAUUUCCUCAUAUUUAGUGUGUGCUAAAACUUAGACACUAAAAUACUUGGUUUUCCUGCCAAGACAAAAGCUGAGAUCAGUUUGUUACUCCUACUCAGUUCAUGAAUUCAGACAAAUGCUGAGCGACUCUGAGUGACCGCAAGAGACACAAUGGCAUCAAGAUAUACAGAUGACAUUGCAAAGAACCUGGACCACCUUUCAUUGAAUGGAGGUGUAGGUGAAAGAAAUGCAAACAUUCAGACAACAGGUGAUGAUGAUGAUGAUGAUGAUGAUGAAGAUGAUGAUGAAGAAGAUGAUGAUGAUGAAGAUGAUGAAGAA
Molecule: long non-coding RNA, 420 nt
Organism: Megalobrama amblycephala (Wuchang bream)
Lineage: Eukaryota; Metazoa; Chordata; Actinopteri; Cypriniformes; Xenocyprididae
Exons: 3
Source: RefSeq, a predicted model, not a curated record